CGCGUAGGCGGUUACAUAAGUUGGAGGUGAAAUCCCCGGGCUCAACCUGGGAACUGCUUUCAAAACUGUGUGACUUGAGUACAGCAGAGGAUAGUGGAAUUUCUAGUGUAGCGGUGAAAUGCGUAGAUAUUAGAAGGAACACCAGUGGCGAAGGCGACUGUCUGGGCUGAUACUGACGCUGAGGUGCGAUAGCGUGGGGAGCAAACA
Molecule: ribosomal RNA, 207 nt
Filed under: uncultured bacterium
Lineage: Bacteria
Description: partial 16S ribosomal RNA
Rfam family: Bacterial small subunit ribosomal RNA
Source: RNAcentral